AGAUCCCUAAUUAAGGUUCUUCAUGCUGAGCAAAAAUCUUGAUUCAGGACUCACUAAAGCAUCAUGAAUUACCUAGUUGGAGCUUUCAAACAGCCGUGUAAUAUUUUCAUUUCAUUUGCUGGUGGAAGAAGCCGCAAGCAGGUUAAAGAAGGAAAAUGGGAAAACAGUUACGGCUGCUCUCUUUCAGAGCCAAGAAAAUAUUGUAGGAGAGGUGGUUAUAGAACCAAUACAUGGGAAGAAGGUUGAACAAAAUGGUGUUAAAAUUGAGCUCCUUGGUCAGAUAGAAUUGUAUUUUGACAGAGGCAACUUCUAUGAUUUCACCUCUCUUGUACGCGAACUUGAUGUUCCUGGUGAAUUAUACGAAAGAAAAGCAUAUUCAUUUGAAUUUUCAACGGUGGAGAUGCCAUAUGAGUCUUAUAACAGAGUGAAUGUUAGAC
Molecule: long non-coding RNA, 437 nt
Organism: Hibiscus syriacus
Lineage: Eukaryota; Viridiplantae; Streptophyta; Magnoliopsida; Malvales; Malvaceae
Exons: 7
Source: RefSeq, a predicted model, not a curated record